CCUACGGGAGGCAGCAGUGAGGAAUAUUGGUCAAUGGGCGGGAGCCUGAACCAGCCAAGCCGCGUGAAGGAAGAAGGCGCCAUGCGUCGUAAACUUCUUUUGUCGGGGAACAAAGCGCGCCACACGUGGCGUUGUGCGUGUAUCCGAAGAAAAAGCAUCGGCUAACUCCGUGCCAGCAGCCGCGGUAAUACGGAGGAUGCGAGCGUUAUCCGGAUUUAUUGGGUUUAAAGGGUGCGUAGGCGGUCCGGAAAGUCAGCGGUAAAAUCCCGGGGCUCAACCCCGUCGAGCCGUUGAAACUGUCAGACUAGAGACGGCGAGAAGUACGCGGAAUGCGCGGUGUAGCGGUGAAAUGCAUAGAUAUCGCGCAGAACUCCGAUUGCGAAGGCAGCGUACCGGCGCCGGACUGACGCUGAGGCACGAAAGCGUGGGGAUCGAACAGGAUUAGAUACCCCAGUAGUC
Molecule: ribosomal RNA, 459 nt
Filed under: uncultured bacterium
Lineage: Bacteria
Description: partial 16S ribosomal RNA
Rfam family: Bacterial small subunit ribosomal RNA
Source: RNAcentral